UUCGCAAUGCCCGAAAGGGUGACGAAGCGACGCCGCGUGGGUGAGGAAGGCCUUCGGGUUGUAAAGCCCUGUCAGGAGUUAAGAAAUGUAAGUGCGCUAAUAUCGCAUUUAUUUGACGAAGGCUCCAAAGGAAGUCACGGCUAACUCUGUGCCAGCAGCCGCGGUAAUACAGAGGUGGCAAGCGUUGUUCGGAAUUAUUGGGCGUAAAGAGCACGUAGGUGGGUUUGUAAGUCAGAUGUGAAAGCCUUCUGUUCAACGGAAGAAUUGCAUCUGAAACUGCAGGUCUUGAGUGUAGGAGGGGAGAAUGGAACUUCUGGUGGAGCGGUGAAAUGCGUAGAUAUCAGAAGGAACGCCGGCGGCGAAAGCGAUUCUCUGGCCUAUUACUGACACUCAGUGUGCGAAAGCUAGGGGAGCAAACGGGAUUAGAUACCCCGGUAGUCCUAGCCGUAAACGAUGGGCACUAAGUAGAGGGGUUUU
This 477-nucleotide ribosomal RNA is filed under the name Candidatus Scalindua brodae. RNAcentral describes it as "bacterial SSU rRNA". It matches the Rfam family "Bacterial small subunit ribosomal RNA", at positions 365 to 832 of the family's 1533-position model. The record is from RNAcentral. Lineage: Bacteria; Pseudomonadati; Planctomycetota; Candidatus Brocadiia; Candidatus Brocadiales; Candidatus Scalinduaceae.